UACGGGGGGGGCAAGCGUUGUUCGGAAUUACUGGGCGUAAAGGGCUCGUAGGCGGCCAACUCAGUCGGACGUGAAAUCCCACGGCUUAACCGUGGAACUGCUCGGUAUACUGGAUGUCUUGAGCCAGCUAGGGGCUACCGGAACAAAUGGUGGGAGCGGUGAAAUGCGUAGAUAUCGGAAGGAACACCAGUGGCGAAAGCGGCUUCCUGGUCCGCAGCAUCGACGUCAGGCACGAAAGCGUGGGGAGCAAACAGG
Molecule: ribosomal RNA, 255 nt
Filed under: uncultured bacterium
Lineage: Bacteria
Description: partial 16S ribosomal RNA
Rfam family: Bacterial small subunit ribosomal RNA
Source: RNAcentral